AGGAGGAGGAGGAAGAAGAAGAAGAAGAAGAAGUUGUUGAAAGCACAUCUGACAUGCAAGGAAUCCAGUGUUCUUCCCCAUCAUAAGAUGAACUCCUAACCAUUGGGCCAGCAGCCCAAUGUCACAGCACCACCACUCAGGGGGGCGCCCCAUCAA
This is a long non-coding RNA of Perognathus longimembris pacificus (Pacific pocket mouse), 156 nucleotides long. RefSeq lists it as uncharacterized. The transcript is spliced from 3 exons. Lineage: Eukaryota; Metazoa; Chordata; Mammalia; Rodentia; Heteromyidae. The record is from RefSeq and is a predicted model, not a curated record.